This 422-nucleotide long non-coding RNA is filed under the name Eutrema salsugineum. RNAcentral's name for it is "long non-coding RNA (ESAL_LNC000263)". Lineage: Eukaryota; Viridiplantae; Streptophyta; Magnoliopsida; Brassicales; Brassicaceae. The record is from RNAcentral.
AUGCUACAUAUCAUGUCUUAUAUUGUGUGUUCCCUAAUCUAUAGUAAGGUAACUGUAAGCAUGCCUCAUUUUCCAAGGAUGGAAUAUGCCAAAUAAAUCCUCAAUAUUGACAACAAAGGAAAAGUCUCUCGCUGGAUGCCACAGCAGUUGCUAGUUCUACAAGAUUCAGGAAAUCACACAGUAAGAAUGUAACAUUAACCUUUUGCAUGUUGAAGCCACUGUACUGGCUGUGAAGUUUCUCAAGUCCCAGUGAUUAUUAGAUAACCUUUUUCCUAAGCGCUUGGCAAUGAGGCAAGUAAUAAUAGACGGCAUCAAUUGAUGCAGCUGAACAGAACACACCAAGGGUCAACAGGAGGAGAUGAAGGGAGAGUGUAGAAAUAAGGAAAAACAGGUAUUACAAUUGGAGUUGCAGGAUAUAGCCA